Molecule: long non-coding RNA, 267 nt
Organism: Neopelma chrysocephalum (saffron-crested tyrant-manakin)
Lineage: Eukaryota; Metazoa; Chordata; Aves; Passeriformes; Pipridae
Exons: 3
Source: RefSeq, a predicted model, not a curated record
CUCCUUCUGACUCUGCUCUUCCAAGUUUUCAUCAGCACAGAGGAGAUGUCAGAGGAGGUCGAGACCUUCUGGGGGCGAUGCCGGGAGCAGCGCAGCCUUCCCCCCAACCCCAACAGGUUUGCAGUGCAGACCGUCAAAGCCCUGCUGCGCCAGCUGCUGGAUGAGGACGUGGUGAUGGUGAUCCAUCGCAAGUGUGGCUGGGACAUGCUCCUCAAGGCUGACAGCCACCACUAUGCAGUGGGUCUGCUGGCCAGGGAGCUGUGCCGU